CCUACGGGCGGCAGCAGUGAGGAAUAAUGGUCAAUGGACGGAAGUCUGAACCAGCCAUGCCGCGUGCAGGAAGACGGCUCUAUGAGUUGUAAACUGCUUUUGUACAAGGGUAAACCUGAAUACGUGUAUUCAGCUGAAAGUACUGUACGAAUACGGAUCGGCUAACUCCGUGCCAGCAGCCGCGGUAAUAAGGAGGAUCCAAGCGUUAUCCGGAUUUAUUGGGUUUAAAGGGUGCGUAGGCGGAUUGAUAAGUUAGAGGUGAAAUGUCCGGGCUUAACUCGGGAACUGCCUCUAAUACUGUUGAACUAGAGAGUAGAUGCGGUAGGCGGAAUGUAUGGUGUAGCGGUGAAAUGCGUAGAGAUCGUACAGAACACCGAUUGCGAAGGCAGCUUACCAAUCUAUAACUGACGUUGAGGCACGAAAGCGUGGGGAGCAAACAGGAUUAGAUACCCCUGUAGUC
RNAcentral lists this ribosomal RNA (460 nucleotides) under uncultured bacterium. Its description in RNAcentral is "partial 16S ribosomal RNA". It matches the Rfam family "Bacterial small subunit ribosomal RNA", at positions 338 to 795 of the family's 1533-position model. The record is from RNAcentral.